UGCAGUAUUGCAUGUGUGGCAGGGUUAGUGUUAUCUGUUUUUGGCCCGGUUGGGAUCUGAUUGGUGGACCAAUGAGAUGUAAGUAGCCCUACUACUUAAGGACUCUUAUUUUGAGGGGUAGUGUGGUGUCUGGUUGAUUCUGAGCUCUCCUCUUCCUGACAUUCCCCUUUCCGCUCCUCACUGCGUCAGUCUGAUUUUAGAGUGGGGCUGGUGGCAUCGAUAUUGCGGCAAGUUUGUGGCGGAGUGCGCUUACAGUAAUGGUGACACAAGCGGAUGCGUGAGUGCUGUCUGGUACGUUGAGUCACAACACUUGUUGGAGUAACCAUAUAGCUUUGCGCUGGUCUUCGUUCAACCCUAACCAUAAGUAAGAGGGGGAAUGGAACAUCACCGUCUCUAAGUUGAUCUUUUGGUGAAGAUACUACCUGUGACGCCGCUGCUGUUUUGCUUAGGGCAUUUUUCUUUUUGUUGAGUACAG
Onychostoma macrolepis is the source of this 475-nucleotide long non-coding RNA. RefSeq lists it as uncharacterized. The record is from RefSeq and is a predicted model, not a curated record. The transcript is spliced from 4 exons. NCBI's taxonomy places the organism in Eukaryota, Metazoa, Chordata, Actinopteri, Cypriniformes, Cyprinidae.